GGGUGGUGAGGUUGCUCAGUGGUCUGGUGUCAAGAAGAUAUGACUUCAAAUGUGGCUGCUAAUACUUACUAGCUGUGCUCUAAUCACAGGUUGGAUUUCUUCAGAUGUUGACAACCUAUGGCUACCUUCCUUCUUGGGUCCCAAUUUCUGGAGGAAGGAUAUGUAAAAUAUGAGGGUGCUGGACUGGAUGAUCUCAAGCAUUCUUUCCAGACACAGAAUUUGAUGAGUCUACGAGCUGCUUUCAAAUUAUUCUCUAGGAGGAAGGGAGAUGGACCAGCCCUCCACAAAAUUGUCCAAAAGGAUGAUGAUUGUCUUUGUGAGUUUUUGUGCACAAAGAUACCUGUGUAUGAAGAUUUAAGUGGAAAAGUCGAUGCACAGAGACAGUCCCACUCUCUUGGCUUUGGAAGCCUGGGUCCAGUGGCACAAAAAGUCGUUACACCUGGAGACUUCCUCAGCUGCAUUGGGUGGCCGUGUUGUCCUUUGUGCUCCUACACGCCCUAAGCACUCCACAGUGCCUUGCUGCGUCGCCAUCUCAGCCGUUGAACCUUCUUGUUGGUUUCUUCCACCUCUUCCGCCGAAGCAGUCUUCACAUGCUGGGUGAGCAAAGCCCUAGUUCACCAGGGGUCAACGUUGACCCGAUGGCUACCCUCACAAGGUUUAGCCGGCCUGUCGAAGCCGUUGCCCGGGGUGUGGCUGCUGGAGAUGCCAGGGAUAUAAAGAAAAAGAUCCCAGUAGUUCCUUCCCUCAAGGAGCUUAUGUUCUAUUGGAUAAGGGACUUAAUGACAAAAUACUGAGCACUUAUAGUGUUCAGAGAACACAGGGAUGCUGUGUUUCCUGUAGAGAGGAGAACAGGAUGGAGAAAGCAGAGAAAACAAAAGAUCUUCCUCCAUCCCUCAACCUUGCCUCACUCAGCACCAUUUCUGCUCUAGCAUAGAUCAGUUUCUUUAUGUAUAUUGUUAAAUGAAAUGGAAUUGAAUCAAAUCGCUGCGGCUCCUAAAGAGUCCUGAAGCCUCUAAGGUCCAGCUAGUCAUCAGAGCAAGUUGCCUACAUUGGUGAAAUUGCUAGGGACAGGGGGAAAACAUUUCUUAGAUAAUUCCUAGCUCUGUGACCUCGGGGAAGCCAAUUUCCUGUCCCUUACCACUCUUCUGCCUUGAAACCAAUACAUAAUACUGAUUUUAAGACAAAAGAUUAAAUAAAUAAAUGAAAGCUUGUUUAUUGACUGCCCCU
RNAcentral lists this long non-coding RNA (1227 nucleotides) under Monodelphis domestica (gray short-tailed opossum). RNAcentral's name for it is "lncRNA (ENSMODG00000043072.1)". Lineage: Eukaryota; Metazoa; Chordata; Mammalia; Didelphimorphia; Didelphidae. The record is from RNAcentral.